Molecule: transfer RNA, 72 nt
Filed under: Caudoviricetes sp.
Lineage: Duplodnaviria; Heunggongvirae; Uroviricota; Caudoviricetes
Description: tRNA-OTHER
Rfam family: tRNA
About the family: Transfer RNA (tRNA) molecules are approximately 80 nucleotides in length. Their secondary structure includes four short double-helical elements and three loops (D, anti-codon, and T loops).
Source: RNAcentral
GCAGACGUAGCUCAGUCGGUAGAGCACCGCGCCCGGAGGCGGAUGCAGGUUCAAACCCUGCCGUCUGUUCCA